Molecule: ribosomal RNA, 253 nt
Filed under: uncultured bacterium
Lineage: Bacteria
Description: partial 16S ribosomal RNA
Rfam family: Bacterial small subunit ribosomal RNA
Source: RNAcentral
UACGUAGGGGGCAAGCGUUGUCCGGAAUCAUUGGGCGUAAAGAGCGCGUAGGCGGCCCUGUAAGUCCGCUGUGAAAGUCAAGGGCUCAACCCUUGAAUGCCGGUGGAUACUGCAGGGCUAGAGUCCGGAAGAGGCGAGUGGAAUUCCUGGUGUAGCGGUGAAAUGCGCAGAUAUCAGGAGGAACACCGAUGGCGAAGGCAGCUCGCUGGGACGGUACUGACGCUGAGGUGCGAAAGCGUGGGGAGCGAACAGG